Molecule: ribosomal RNA, 775 nt
Filed under: uncultured Neocallimastigales
Lineage: Eukaryota; Fungi; Neocallimastigomycota; Neocallimastigomycetes; Neocallimastigales
Description: partial large subunit ribosomal RNA
Rfam family: Eukaryotic large subunit ribosomal RNA
Source: RNAcentral
AGAGAGAGACAUGCGCGCAUAUCAAUAAGCGGAGGAAAAGAAACUAACAAGGAUUCCCUUAGUAACGGCGAGUGAAGCGGGAAGAGCUCAAAUUUGAAAUCUUCAAGGUUCUACCUUGACGAAUUGUAGUUUAUAGAAGUGUUUUCUGUUAGUGGAGUGGCAAAAGUUCUUUGGAAUAGGACAUCAUAGAGGGUGAGAAUCCCGUAUUUGGUCACUCCUCCUAGCGUUGUGAUACACUUUCAACGAGUCGGAUUGUUUGGGAAUGCAGUCCAAAAUGGGUGGUAAAUUUCAUCUAAAGCUAAAUAUUGGCGAGAGACCGAUAGCGAACAAGUACCGUGAGGGAAAGAUGAAAAGAACUUUGAAAAGAGAGUUAAACAGUACGUGAAAUUGUCAAAAGGGAAGCGUUUGACACCAGUGUUGUUUUUCCGAAAAUCAAUUACGAAUGUUUUAUUUUUGAGGAGUUAUGACUUCAUCGGCUUGCUCCUUUCUUUAUGAAACUUUCUUAAUGCACUUUUCGGUUAACAAGUCAACAUCAAUUUCUUUUGUUGUAAAAGGGUAUGAGGAAGGUGGCUUUCUUUUCGGAGAAAGUGUUUAUAGCCUUGUGCCUCUGCAAUCGGAGAGAUUGAUGGUCUGCAGCGUAGAUCCUUCGGGGUUAGAUACAGUUUGUGCUAAGUUAUAGCUUUUCAUAGACAACUUGUUGACUAUGUUUAGUCUUGUAGCUUACUCGCUGAUGCUAUUUUACCUACGCUUAGGAUGUUGAUAGUCACAGCGUGUA